UACGUAGGGUGCAAGCGUUGUCCGGAAUUAUUGGGCGUAAAGAGCUCGUAGGCGGUCUGUCGCGUCUGCUGUGAAAUCUAUGGGCUCAACCCAUAGCCUGCAUUAGAAACUGUCGGGCUUGAGUAUGGGAGAGGUGAGUGGAAUUUCCGGUGUAGCGGUGAAAUGCGUAGAUAUCGGAAGGAACACCUGUGGCGAAAGCGGCUCACUGGACCAUAACUGACGCUGAGGCGCGAAAGCUAGGGGAGCAAACAGG
This 253-nucleotide ribosomal RNA is filed under the name uncultured bacterium. Its description in RNAcentral is "partial 16S ribosomal RNA". It matches the Rfam family "Bacterial small subunit ribosomal RNA", at positions 524 to 776 of the family's 1533-position model. The record is from RNAcentral.